UCCCGACAGCUGCUUGACGACCAAUUGAGAGUCACUGUAAAUGAUAAGCUUUUGGACCUCUAGACUCUUUGCCAAUCGAACACCUGUUAGCACUGCUUCAUACGCGGCUUCGUUAUUCGUCGCUUUAAAUCCGAAUCUGAUGGCCUGUUGAACUUUGAAUCCGUCCGGACUUGUCAAGAUAAUUCCUGCCCCACUAACAGUUAGAGUAGAGGAACCGUCUGCAUAUAGAGUCCAAACAUUCUGAUCUUGUUGAAGAACUGCAACUGCUCGAU
Molecule: long non-coding RNA, 272 nt
Filed under: Panax ginseng (ginseng)
Lineage: Eukaryota; Viridiplantae; Streptophyta; Magnoliopsida; Apiales; Araliaceae
Description: long non-coding RNA (PGIN_LNC003131)
Source: RNAcentral